Molecule: ribosomal RNA, 528 nt
Filed under: uncultured bacterium
Lineage: Bacteria
Description: bacterial SSU rRNA
Rfam family: Bacterial small subunit ribosomal RNA
Source: RNAcentral
AACGUAGGAGGCGAGCGUUAUCCGGAUUUACUGGGUGUAAAGCGCGUGUAGGCGGUCCUGCAAGUGGUGCGUGAAAGCGCCCGGCUCAACCGGGCGAGGACGUGGGCGAACUGCAGGGCUAGAGGCAGGUAGAGGCGUGUGGAAUUCCGGGUGUAGUGGUGAAAUGCGUAGAGAUCCGGAGGAACACCAGUGGCGAAGGCGACACGCUGGGCCUGGCCUGACGCUGAGAGGCGAAAGCAUGGGGAGCGAACGGGAUUAGAAACCCCGGUAGUCCAUGCCGUAAACGAUGCUGACUAGGUGUGGCGGGUAUGAACUCCUGCCGUGCCGGAGCCAACGUGGUAAGUCAGCCACCUGGGGACUACGGCCGCAAGGUUAAAACUCAAAGGAAUUGACGGGGGCCCGCACAAGCAGCGGAGCGUGUGGUUUAAUUCGAGGCUACACGAAGAACCUUACCUGGGCUUGACAUGGCGGUGGUAGGGAACCGAAAGGGGACCGACCUUCGGGAGCCGUCACAGGUGCUGCAUGGCU